AGCACAGUAGAAUGCUAAAUUUUGUCGCAGGGAAUGAACUCUAAGCACAAUGGAGUCAAAACACUUACCAUUUUGGUUGAAGAGAGCAUCCAAAUUUCUCGUGGGGUGGUAACCAAAAUCAAUUUCAAAAUCAUAAUAGAUCCCUAGGGACAAUUUCAGCAGAACAAGAAAAUUCAGUUGGAAGAGAUGUUCGCGGAGUUCACGGAAAAGACCAAUAGAUACAUAGAAGCAAAUAAUCAAUUCAUGAGGAAGACUGAAAUAACUUUCCAAAAUCAGGGUGCUGCAACUAAGAACCUGGAAACGCAGGAAGGACAGAUGGCACUUUCUAUGACGAAAAGAACACUAAGUAUUUUGCCAAAUAAUACUGACAUGAAUCCCAAAGAGCGUGUUCAAGCAAUUGCUAUAAGAAGUGGGGUUCAAUUACUAGAGAUCGGUGUGAAGACACCGGGUAUAGACAAAGAAAUAAUACCUUCUUCUGAUGAGGAGCAGACUGGCCAGUCCACAGAAGCAACUAUCAACGAGAGUUUAGAUACACCAUAGGCAAAAGCAACCGCUCCUAUAAAUCGACACGAGCCCCCAAUUUCAUUCUUUUAGAGAUGGAAGAAGCAUAAGAUGGAUCAACAAUACAUGGAAAAUUUUGGAGGCUUUCAAGAAACUUCACAUAAAUA
RNAcentral lists this ribosomal RNA (668 nucleotides) under Olea europaea subsp. europaea. The record is from RNAcentral. Lineage: Eukaryota; Viridiplantae; Streptophyta; Magnoliopsida; Lamiales; Oleaceae.